CAGGUCUGUCUGCGCUCCCAUUAUCUAUCGCCUUUACUUGACCUGAUCUCACCCGUAAACUUUCAUGGUGGCACUACCUGCUUCUCUCCAUGGAGACAGAAAAGUAUAAUGCUAAACUGUGGAACAUUCAGGCAAAGCAAUAACAUAUUCAUCAUGGAGACAAUAAGGUCAAAGGCUCAAGUGUCCUUUUGGCAUGUCCACAGGAAAUGAGUGUGCAGAGACAUGAGCGUGACUGAGCGUGUCUACAUGGAUUGUUAUUGAACUGAAUUCAGCCUUGCCUUUACUUGAUUUUCAC
This is a long non-coding RNA of Boleophthalmus pectinirostris (great blue-spotted mudskipper), 295 nucleotides long. RefSeq lists it as uncharacterized. The transcript has 3 exons. The record is from RefSeq and is a predicted model, not a curated record. NCBI's taxonomy places the organism in Eukaryota, Metazoa, Chordata, Actinopteri, Gobiiformes, Gobiidae.